AUGUCUGAAGGUACAAGGUACCAGUCAACAAUUGAGGAAUGGGCCAGUGUGAUCAAUGCCCCAAAGGAGAGUGAAGAUGACUUGGAUGUCUAUGCCAAGAAGAAGAUGGACCACAAUACCAUGGCUCAUAUGUACAAGGAGAUCCCAAACAAAGCUCUUGAGACUUUCAAGUUUGGGUCAAUCCACUUUCUUCUGUCAAGGCUGCCAACAAUCAACUGGAUCCUAAGGCACACUUUGUUGCCCAAGUCAGGUGACCACAACAUGAUUAGAGGGCAUGCUAUCAACUUGCUACACUUGUUUGAUGUGCCGCAGAAAUUCAAGGUCAUGAGCCUCAUUGUUGAGACCAUUAAGACGACAGCAGCAGACCAGAAGAGAAGUUGUGGGUAUGACCCACAGGUUCAGGAGUUGAUUAACUCAAAGAUGGGCACAGGAACAUACUUGCUGGAUAAGGAACAUUUUGCUAUCUAUCCAGACUUUGAGGACAAUCAAGUUGUUAUGAAUGAGAAUGAACCAUCAUCAGUGCAAGCUCAAGAUAAGAAGGAAAAGGCAAAGAGAGAGAAGGCUGCCAAGAUGCCAACUCAAGAGGAGGCAUCUGAGUACUUUUUGAAGAACAAGCAAGAGCAGCUUGGUUACUUGAUAGAAUCAACACUGAGGAUUGAGAAGGGGUUGGCCACCCUAACUCAAAACCAGGAGAGUCUGGAAAGAAUCAUGGAACAACAAUUCUAUGAUCUAGAUGUCAAAGUAACUGAGAUUCAGUCAGUUGUGGAGCAGCUCCAGGAUGACAUGCAGGAGAGGAAGGGCAAGACAACCACUGAUGCAUUUGCCAAAGUGCCUAGAGCUCAGAGGUCAGCUAUAGUGCCUGUGACAGACACCAGAGCCACAUCAUCUGCACCAGCUACAGCUCCUACAGCUCCAGGCAACCAGCUCCAGCACCAACUCCUCUAG
RNAcentral lists this ribosomal RNA (945 nucleotides) under Triticum aestivum (bread wheat). RNAcentral's name for it is "partial small subunit ribosomal RNA". The record is from RNAcentral. Lineage: Eukaryota; Viridiplantae; Streptophyta; Magnoliopsida; Poales; Poaceae.